UACGUAGGGGGCAAGCGUUGUCCGGAUUUAUUGGGCGUAAAGAGCGUGUAGGCGGUUUGGUAGGUCCGUUGUGAAAACUCGAGGCUCAACCUCGAGACGCCGAUGGAAACCAUCAGACUAGAGUCCGGAAGAGGAGAGUGGAAUUCCCGGUGUAGCAGUGAAAUGCGUAGAGAUCGGGAGGAACACCAGUGGCGAAGGCGGCCUUCUGGACCAAUACUGACGCUCAUGCACGAAAGCGUGGGGAGCAAACAGG
RNAcentral lists this ribosomal RNA (253 nucleotides) under uncultured bacterium. RNAcentral describes it as "partial 16S ribosomal RNA". It matches the Rfam family "Bacterial small subunit ribosomal RNA", at positions 524 to 776 of the family's 1533-position model. The record is from RNAcentral.